CUCAUGCUGCAGAUCAUCCUGGAAGUGUAGAGCCAUUUACAGACAGCAAUACCACAGCCAGGGUGACCACCAUGAGGCUGAGCCAGGCCCUUGGUAUGCACAGGAUUAACAAGAUCUCCCUGGGACUGGAAGUUCUUCACAAGCAUCGCUCCUGGGCGGGCUGCAGCGCCACCCGGAGGCUUCCUGUGCCUGGUGUGGACCUCAUGUGACACUGUAGCUGCACAUUGCAGAGGUCCAGGAUUCUAGCCCAGAGCCCAAACACCACAGCCCGCCCCAGUGUGGACACCGAAUGGAACCAACCAAGGCCAAAGAAGAGGAUCAGAGCAGCACGACGUGACAUCGGAGCAGCGCAGGGAGCAGUGAGCGAAAAGGAUGAGGCCAGUGGACCUUGCUAGGGACUGUGGGGCUCGCUACUGCAAGGAACCAGGCAACAUGCCUGGUUAAAAGGCGCCAGGAGCAACCUUCAAACUGCAAAGCAUGACCUUCAUCUACAAACCUGUGUUCUGCCAUAAAAGACUAAUUUUUCUUCCUGUAGCCUAGUCAUCCUUCAGGAUCCCGCAGAAGAUGUGUUCUUUCUAGGACAGGGAACAACCCCAGCUGGCUCAGCCUCCAGGAAAUCCUAUUACUGAAGUCCUUUUUGUCAUUUCUGCAGUGAGGUCAGCACUGCGGAAUAUCCACACUUCUGUCCAUCACACAGACGGCCACACUUGGAGCUCGGAAAACAGACACCUGCUUGCUCCAUGGCUGCCACGGGCCAGACGUUCAGGCUCCCAAAUGAGCACCUGCAUUCCUAGCAAGAGCCACCAGCGGAUUUCACGAAUUUCCUCUGCAGCGGUGCAGAGAUGAGAAUAAUGGGAUUCUGCCAACGCAAGAGAACAUGAGAAGCAACACGAAACCCAGCCGAGGGCGCUGCCCUGUAGGUAUGCUACCAAGAGAAUGACCUCAGGAUUUCACGAGUCACAGCAAACAAUUAGACCGUAAUUUAAAAAUAGGCUGUGCAUGCCCAAUUUUUAUUAAGGAGCUAAUUUACAAACUUACAAGCUGAUCAGUGCAUUCUUUUCAGAGUUAAAACUGAUCUACUGGCUAAAAGCAUGGCUCUCUGGGUGUUUCCAGAGAGGGAGGAGUUUCCGAAGCUGUCGAGCUGUCAUUUCUCUCUGCAUUCUGUACCCCAGACACAAGAAAAGCAAGUAUUUCCUCAUUCCCAAGCAGCAGCGGCAUUUUUACUUCUCCCUAACGGCAAAACUCAAGAUUCAUUCAAAGCAUGUGUCCCUGUCCUUGCUACUUAAUUUACAUUGCAACGUCCUUUCUCAGCAAAAUCCUCAUCUUCACAGGAGACCGCUGUCUAUCAGUUUCCUCUGUCACUUUGAGGUCAUGAUAGAAAUGUACAGAAGUUUGCAGAAGUGCCAGAAAAGACAAAUAUUACGUAUAGUAAUGUCUUUUUGCUAUGAAUAUGUCUUCUUCCUCGUUACAGACAUCCAGAGUUAGAGACACAGCUACACUCUAGCUCAGAAAAUCCUGCUAACACUCAGGCACUAAAAAAAGUCCUUACAAACCCAUCAGAAAAGGAAGGGAGAAACUAUUUUCACCACAAGGGCAUCAGCCUGGAGCCUGUACUACAGGGUCACUGCAAGGUGAAUGACACAAGGACAGAAGCUGGCAGUCAGGGGUCACCCUGAGAUCAAGCUCACAGGGUAAGCACUGGGUGCAAGCUGCACCCAUAAAACUCGAGAGCAAAAUGGGUGUGUGUGAAUGUGCAAGCACCUGAUUAAUAUGUGCUAAUACCCAUAAAUGUCCUUACAGGACUCCCUCCUGUGAAUUCCUCUUUUUAUUGGUUGCUUACGCAGUUUUUAAAGGUAAAGUUUUAAAGAUCCCUGCACUAUAGCAUUUGGAUAAAAAUGGAAUGAUUUCAGAUUCUCAAACGAAGGUGAAGCCUAUUCAGCCUGCAAAACAGCCUCCAAAGUCACUGGUCUGCGCUGCAUGAGCAGAAGCCUGCCUUCAAUUUGGCAUCUGCAUAAAGUAGUAUUUCAAGGACACACAAAUGACCACAUGCACACAUCACCACGCUUACUUACAGCACUUGAUAAAAUGAUAGUGAGACAUCUUCCCAUCUCAGGCAGAAACCUUGCUAGCAAUUCCAGCAUUCUCUCGUGCUACCACAGUCGUCCCCAGGAAAUGCAUUAUUCAGAGUCCUUACUCAGGUGACAGUUUACCUCGGGAUGCAUAAUUGAUCACAGGCUCUGCUCUGUGAUCAGGCAAAAAGCUCCCGGCUCAUUCUCAUGCAGCAACUGGAGUUCGCAGAAGCCUCUUAGGUGGGCGGUCAGCCAGCCCCGCUGCACGUGCUAUUGUAGCGCCCUUGAUUGACACGCCCUUCUUCGCGCCACAGCUCCAGGAAGAGGCAGCUGUAAUUGGCGCUCACGCCUAGCCGUGGCGUGCCACUCGAGGAGGUGAGCUGCAGUGCGGCUCUGCUUUCCUGUCCUGCCUGUGCAAUAGCUGGCAAACAGCAGCAAACGAGGCUGACAAGCAGGCAGGAGGCAGGCAGCGCACAGGGAUCCUGGAUCACAUGGUGCUCAUUGUCCGUCGGGUAAACGUGGCCAGAUUCUCAGUUGGGAGUAAUGCCGAUUAUUUUUAGUUGCUCCCAGUUGCUGGGUGUGACUAGGAAACUGACAGAGGAGCUGGAAAUAGCCACCUCUAGGAACCAGCAAUCUUUUGAUCUGCCUCAAGUUGUGAAGUCACUGCAUCGUCUCUCACAACACGCCCUUCUGGCUAUGUAUGCCGGAAGGCGAAACUUAAAUUAGCCCGAAAAAGCAUUCAGUUUAAACAUUUAGAAUAUUACUACCUCUGCAGACUGCCGUGGAUUUAAUGCUACAAGCUACGAUGAAGUCUGGCUGAAUUGGAAUCAGAAAGAAAUAUAUGGAUUCCCAAAGUCUACAGGAAUAAAAAUAGAUGGCAUACUCACAACAGCCAUGUUAGUGAAAGAAAGUAACAGGUUAUGUUUAAGUCACUUAAAAAUAAAAAUGGAUAUGGAUUUUCACUAAAUGACACAUUGUUAUGAUCUUUUUGCAAGCACAUCACCAUCACCUAAAACACGAGUUUUGGAUUUUGAGAGGUAAAAAUGCAUACUGCAUUAAACAUUCACACCCUGUUAUAGUAGAAGCAUAAGUACUUCCCCUUACUAAGUGAAACUCAGAGCAAUGCUGCUAUUAAACAGGAUUCUAAAACGCAAGUCUAAGUCAUAAGGGGUCCCAGCUCUUAAUUCCCACCCAAAAGCAUUCUAAGCAUUUUACAUUCUGAAUCAAAAGAGGAAGAUUGAGGUCUCCAUCAGGACAGGCUGAGUUCAAAUCCAGGUUCUGGCACACAGUAGGUCAGCUCUAUGCAGGAAAAUCCCUAGUCCUCAGUCUGAAGGUCAGAAAUAAAGCACAGAAAGGCCCAGGGAUAUUGCUGUUGAAGAAAGAGCUGCCUUUAAAAUUAACAGAAAAGAAAAUAUUCAGGUAGGCAUCAAGUGACUGUUUUCCCAGGCACUAAAAUGAGGACUUGCACUUUUCUCCAGUAAUGCUGAUUCUUUAUUCAUUCAUUUACCCCACAAUGAAUCCUUGAGGUCAUUGUCCUCUAAGUCACCCUGCUGGAUGCUUUUCAGGAAUAGAAGGACCACACCCACAACACAGCCUUUGUGCACAAGGAACGCACAGUGCACUUCUAAGUUUUCUUGUAUGUUUUGUAUUUUCCAAUAAAAAUGCAGGCGGCAUUUAUGUGUCUGCUAUUCCACACA
This is a long non-coding RNA of Cavia porcellus (domestic guinea pig), 3766 nucleotides long. RefSeq lists it as uncharacterized. The record is from RefSeq and is a predicted model, not a curated record. NCBI's taxonomy places the organism in Eukaryota, Metazoa, Chordata, Mammalia, Rodentia, Caviidae. The transcript is spliced from 2 exons.